Molecule: long non-coding RNA, 7067 nt
Filed under: Ananas comosus (pineapple)
Lineage: Eukaryota; Viridiplantae; Streptophyta; Magnoliopsida; Poales; Bromeliaceae
Description: long non-coding RNA (ACOM_LNC015047)
Source: RNAcentral
GUUGGCAUUCGGUUAAAUCGAAUCGGGUACGCCCAUAAGCGGGUUCGAUCCGACGGAUGUUAUGUUAUCUAAUUGGAUUAGAAUUAAUCUCGCUUUCAAAUUGAAAAGUUAGUUAGAGAUAAAUCCUAGUCAUAUUAGGAUAACAAUUAAUAACCGAUUUGGCUUUAUCUCCAACGCCAUUAGGAUUUUGGAAUUCCUUAUAAAUAGACGGGCGAUCUCACAUGAAACGAUACACACAAAAAUAAAAGAACGGAAAAAUAGAGAGAAACCACAUCCUCCAUUGACCUAUUAUUCUAGAGGGACUUGCACGGUGGAUUNGAUCUUGCGCUACUCGGGCCUAGCAAAUCUAACUAAGUGCACCGCGAAUCGCUUCCGCAAAAAGGUACGAACGAAUACUUCCGCUGCGUUCUACAUUGGUAUCAGAGCCUUUUUUGGUUGAUUUCGUGGUCUUGAUAUAUCCUUUAACGAGAUUACAUGCAUUAAAUUAAAUUCUUCAUGUUUUAGAUUUUUUCUUGCAUGUAUGUGAUCGUUCAUGGCGAUUUUUUCAUAAGUGAAUAUCUUUGCAUGAUUUUUACACAUCUUGAAGCACCGAAGUUGUAGAUUAGAUCUAUAAAUUUUGAUUUGAUAUGGUUUUGUAUUUUAUGAGAAAAACGAAACUCUGAAUUGGAACUUUGGGUGGCUUAUUUGAUGUGUGAUGCAUAUCCCAUUGUGAAACUUGUAUGAUUUUGAUGAGCUCCUCGUAAGCUUUGUAUUGAUAUAUUUCUUGCAAGAUUUGGUGUUCUAAAUCAUUAGUUAUGAAUUUUUGAAGAUAAAUCAUUAGUUCCGGCGCCGCAGACGGGCGCAGGCCGCCGGCAGCGAGGGCCACGCAGGUCGCACGGGCCGCACGCAGGCGGCGGGCCCCGAAGGUCGCACGGGCCGCGCGUAGUCGACGGGCUGCGCAGGCUUGUGGGGCGCGCUGGCCGCAGCCGCAGGGGGGGCGUCGCGGGCCGUCGCCACGCGCGCAGGUGGGGGCGUCGCGGGCCUCGCCAGAGCGAGGCGCGUUUGCCCGAGGUCAGCGGGCCGCGGUAGCGCGCGCAGGGCGCGGGCGCGGGUGUCUGGACGAUGGCUGAAGCAGGCAAGCGGGCGUGGGCUUACGCUCGCGCACACAGGCCACGGGCCGGCGCGGGCACGGAAAAGCGUGCUGCGCGAGGGCAAGCGGGCGCCAGGCACGCGGUGCGCGUGCCGGCGGGGCUGGGAUAAACGGCGCGGGCGGGGGACGCGUGAGGGACAGGCGAGGCCUCGGGCGCCAGGCAGGCAAGCCGGCGUCUGUGGGCCGCCGGCGGCGCGCAGCAUCGCGCGAUGCAGGCGCCGCGAGACCGCGCCUGGCGGGACCGCGCCCUAGCCGCAUUGCAGGCUGCGCGAUGGUCGAUGGGGACGGGGUGGCGAUGGCGGCUCAUGCGAGGGUUAGUGCACCUGCGGGGCUGGCAGAAGUGUUUUUUUUCUUCGCUUUGUAACAAAAAAAAAAAAAAAAAAGUUUAGAUUUUAUUAUAAUAUUUUUUUGAUGGCUAAAUAUGCUUUUGAUGAUAUAUGACGCAUGAUUAUCGUUUCUGCAAUUAAAAUAUAUAAUGGUACAUUAUGAGUGUAUGAUGUACUUUAGAUUUAUAAUAUAUUUUUUAUGCAAGCCUCUAUCUUGUGGGGGUUUGUGAAUUUGGUUAGAGUAAAUUAUAAUGGUUUUACUCUUUUUUUUUUUUUUUUGCGAUCUUAUUAAAUAAUUUAAAAUGUUUUACAAUUGGUGUGUGGAUGUGAUUACGAGCCAUAGCGAAAUUUUCUUUAGAUGUAUGAUCUAUUUUUUAUUUAAUUUAAUUAGAGAUGCGGCAUAAAUGUAAUACAUGUUAUGUGGUUACUGAAUUUUAAAAUGAUUUCUUCUCUGCGCAUUGCAGGAAAAAGUGAGAUUUAAUGGCUUACAACAAUUGUUUGGGAUUUGAACAAGGGUGAGGAAAAUUGGAUGGUGACAAUUAUGAUAUGGUGGCACCGUAAAAUUCAAUUGUUUGCUGAGCAAGAGUAGUCCUGGAAAACUCUGAGCAAUAAAAUGGACCAACACGGAGAGAGCACUAGUGCCAGGUUCGCGAGAUAUGGAGCCUAUAUAAUGGUUAAAAGAUCGCAUUGCUAGCCCAUCACUGUUGAGUGGAGCAGUAAUGGAGAAUUGAUCUCUUUGUGCGAGUGUGAGCAAGUAAUCGGAUGCGGUAUGAAUCGUGGGAGCUCUCAAAGCAGAAAUUGUGGUGAAAUUGGCUACAGGAUUGCGCAGGUCUGACUAUGCGGUUUUUGAAGUUAUAAGAAGCGUGUCAUCAGAUAUGGAGCAGGCACGUGUAGAACAAUGGUAAACAUGAUUCGUGGAGUUUAAAGUUGGCUGGCGGCACCUGUGACUGAUUAUGAGACAGAAUCAAGCUACGGAUUCGCUCUCUUCCAUUCGUGGGAUAUAUGGAGUAAAUUGCCCAUAACAAUAUAUUCAAAACUUUUGAGGAUGUUGAGCGGCAUUUGGAGAUUGGAGGAGGAGCGCUUGGAGGCUGUUAAAAUUCAAUGCAAUGUGUCGUGAGUCAAACUUUGCAGGAAUCUGUUCAAGCGAAAGAGGAUAUGGGGUCAAAAUAAUAGGGAUGGCUAAGAAUGCGAAGAACACUAAAAGAAAAAAAAGCAAAAGACGGUCGAGCUAAGAAGAAAUCAAAUAUUGUUUAAAACUGAUCAGUGGGGAUACUGAUCGCUCGCUGUUGACUGGAGCGAAGAGUUACGACUUUAUCCGAUUCUCGUCUUUUGGUUUUCUAAAACGUUUGUUAGUGAAAUCUUCCCUGUGGGAUUGAUGAUCAGGGCAAAGACAGUAGGAGGAAUCGAGAUGGGAUUAGUCGGAUACAGUGUGCUGCUAGGGAGAGAAGAGUUAUACAUGGUGCGGAAUGAUUCAAGUGUCAUUGUGUUAGGACGGUAGGCCAAGUACAAGUUGAUCAUGCAGGUGUAAUGUAGAACUUUAUAUUACAUUGAUGUUUACUUUAUGGCUCAGGAAUUCGGCGGAACUUGUUUUCGUAUUUUGUAUGUACAGUUUAGGCUUUUCUUUUCGUUCUGAGAGUGAUGUAGUUUGAGAUUCAUCUUUGGAACAUAUUUAUUAGUUAGAGUUUUAUGUCGAUAGUUUUAUGGUGUUGUUAGAAAUUGAUUUAAUAUUAAUUUAUUAGUAAUUCUUGUUCCCUGUAUUGUUUGUUGAGAAAUGAUCACAAUGUUUCAAUUAAAUGGCGAUGGAAGUAUUGGUCAUAUUGGCAGGGAUAGAUGACUAGAUUAGUUAGAGACGUUAUGAGGUCGGAUCAUAAAGGUCGAACCUACAUUUUGUGAACAGUGUUUGCGGGAAAAGCGAACCCGAAAAACCAUUUAAUAAAGUUCAGGGCAGAAUUUUCUUUUACAAGAUUAAUCAUCGCAUGUGGCCAAUGAUGUGAGGGCAGACAUGGUGUUUUUACUUCGAUCACAUUUAUAGAUGAACAUACGCGCUGUCGGUCAUAGUUAUCUGAUUCCUAUAAGUUGAAGCAGUUGGAUUGUUUUAGAGUUAUUUAAUGAGGCUGAGAAUCAGUUAGAUAUAAAUAAAUGCUUAAGAACUGAUCGAUGCGCGAUAUCUAUCUAACAAUUCAAGAAAUUAUUUAUGAAAAGGGAUUAAUCAGAAGUGACUCAAUCUGGCAGCUCGCGCGAGCAAAUGGGUGUAGGGUAGGAGAAGACAUAAUGCUAUUGCUUGAAUUGGGUUAGGUCGAAUUGAUGGCGCUAAGCAGAAUGGUGCUGUUUCUUUUGGGGAGAGAUUGUUAACUGUGCCUACAUUCUUAAUCGUGUACUCAAAACAGUUACUUAACCCUUAUGAAUUAUGAAGUUUCAGGAACCAAAUUUUGGAGUCCUGAGUCUUGGGGUUCGGGCUUUUUAUGUACAAAUACUUCUGAAGGAUGGGGAAUUGAGUCUAGAGGGAGAAAGUGUAUUUUAUAAGAGUAACUUCUGCAACAUUAAGGAUACGUGUUUAUAGGAAAGCAGCCUGAUGCGAAAGUUUGCUGAGAUUGAGAUCACAGAUGUUGAAUUCCUCGGAGUAGGAUUUUCUUAUAGAAGUGAGGUUCGAAAUGAAAUGUAGGUUCAUGAGAUGGAAUGAACUCUGAAUUAGCGUUUCUAUUCGCUUUCAAUUGAGGGCAGAGGAGGCAACUCGAUAAUUCUGGAUAGUAGGGAGCGAAGUACUUUAGAUUGUGAGCCGAUUAGUAGGAGCGACGGUGUAGGCUGCCCCUGAUCGUCGUUUUGAGAUUGAGAGGGGUUUCAUGGUUGCUGCACAUGAUAUGAAUGAGUAAAUCUUACAGAGGCUCUCUCGAUUAGCUAUAAUAAAGAAUGGAUUUGAUGCUAUGAUGGAGGAAUAGAAUCGUAUGAGUAAAAUUAAAUGUCUGGGGACUUGUUGAUUGCACAAGAAGCGCAAAACAAUUUGGAAGUAAAUGGAAGUUCUCAAGCAUUAAGCGCAGCAGAGGUUUAUCGAUAGGUACAAGGGCUCCCUGAUAGCAAAGGGUUUUUAACCAACGAGAAGGCUUGAUUUACGGAAGAAGAAAAUUUUUCGUCCUGUAAUGUAAGUUUGUUCGAUGUCUGGAUAUGGCAUUAGUCAACAUAUUUGCGAUUGGAUUUUAACAAAUGGACGUUAAACUGGAUUUCUCAAUGGAGACUGGAUGAGGAGAUCUAUAUGGAUCAGCUACUGGCUUCCUUAUGUAAGGAGUGAGGAGAUAAAGUUUGUAAGCUCGACGAUCCAUUUAUGGAUUGAAGCAGUUCCAGGACAGUGGUAUAGGUUCGAGUUCAUCGAGCAUCACUGAAGGAUGGGUUCGAUGAUUGAAGAAGUAUAACUGAUGUGUAUGUUAAGGGCCAGAAGGGAUUUUUUUUAUAUUUUCAUUAUAUGUUGAUGAAUCUAUGGGCCGGGAUAAUAAGAGAUGAUGUAGCACUUCAGACGUGGCUGUCCUCUAUUUUGAAGAUGGCAAGGACAGGGUGAAGGGGCGAAUUAUGUGCUCGGAAUUUAAGAUCCUACGAGAUCGUUCAAAGAAACUUUGUAGGUCUGUUCAAGGACUUACUAAGAAAGUAUAGAACGAUUCGGGAUGCCAAAUUUGCAACCCAUUGACAGUCCUAUUGCUAAAGGUGAAGAGUUUUGAAGCAUUGAACAGUGCCCUAAGCUUUCUGAGAGAGAACAAGAUGAAUCGGAUUCCAUAUGGUCUAAUGCGCGACUUGCUAUGUAUGCUAUUGAUGUGUACUCGGCUUAUGUAUGUAGUGGACUGGUGUAGCAUUUGUGUCCAUCUGGGAUGUUGGAACCAUCGAAGCAGUUGGCGCCAGAAGAAUAUAAUCUAGAACAUAUCUACGGUUAGGCGUAGGUUGCGCAGAUUUCUAACUUAAGCUGUUGUUAGGAAUUAUUUUUGGUCAUGUUAAAGAUCUUGGACUCGUAGGAUUUGGAUUGUGUAGCAGUGAUUAUUUUUGUAAUUUUUGGUUAUUUUAAUUAACAGAAUUAUUAUUUGGAAAAGAAUAAUUUGUAAAUUAGGUACAGUGAUUUGUAUUAUUUAAAUGAUUGUAGUGAUGUCACAGGAUGAUUGGCCCUCCAACGGGCAAUAAUUCUUUAGGCUGAUGUAGAGAGCGACGGAAAAUUGAGGCAUUAAUGAAGCUCGCCUUGGUUGGCACCAAGAUGAGGUAGUUAUUGAGACCGAUACCGAAAAAGUCACGAUUCGUAUGGCCUGCAAUAUUGAGAGCCGGAUGUUGAGCUCACCGUUGAACGUUGAGAUAGCGAAGUCAAAUGAGAGAACUCAGGCUAAACUUAUGGGAUGUGAUGAGACGUAAGAUCUGAUAUGACAUUGAAGAAAGACAUACGUGUAUGGAUUCUCUGUAUAGAUGUAUUUUCAUGCAAUGUGAGGGGAGACUAAAUAAAAAGUAUGAGUGGAAUGGAUCCAUGCUUCGCUCCAUCAGUGUGAGUUUUGCACGGACAUUAAUUUUGAGACGAUGUCCAUAUUAUGUUUAGGAUGGCCUUUAGUAAUUUUGACUGAUUGUCAUUAAGUGAAAAGAAUUGAAUGUUGACUACUUUGGCAUGUUACUUACGUGUCUGAUGAGUGAUGCGGCUUUACGGAGGCCAUUGCUGGGAAGGCAAUCAGUUCUCAAACUCAGUGGCGAUGAGGGCUCAGGAGACUGUGAAUUAAUUAAAACACUUUGAUCAUUGUCGACAGGUUGUAGUAUCGCUUCACCUGUAUAGCGAAAAAAAUCAUGAGUAUGUGUCAUUAAUGUGUCCGCAAUUGCGGUUAGCAUGGCUUUUAGAGGAUUAGAGAUGCUGAACUGAGUCAAGUUCAAUAUGUUAGGGCAUCCGGUCUAAUAUUUUUUUUUUGAGGGUUGAUGUCUCUAUGUGGCGGAGGCGGUUUCUAGUAUAGUGUCAGCUCCCAAAAGUGGCAGGACCUCGCUCGUCGCGGUAUCGCAUGUUAUUUCCUUGUAUGAUAGAUUAAUAGUGGUAUGAUGAUGUUGAGAACAAAAUUGGUUACGAUGGCCCAUCGAUCGUCAUGAUGCGAGUGAUGAGAUUUGGAUUUCGGUUAAAUCGAAUCGGGUACGCCCAUAAGCGGGUUCGAUCCGACGGAUGUUAUGUUAUCUAAUUGGAUUAGAAUUAAUCUCGCUUUCAAAUUGGAAAGUUAGUUAGAGAUAAAUCCUAGUCAUAUUAGGAUAACAAUUAAUAACCGAUUUGGCUUUAUCUCCAACGCCAUUAGGAUUUUGGAAUUCCUUAUAAAUAGACGGGCGAUCUCACAUGAAACGAUACACACAAAAAUAAAAGAACGGAAAAAUAGAGAGAAACCACAUCCUCCAUUGACCUAUUAUUCUAGAGGGACUUGCACGGUGGAUUUGCGAUCGCGCUCGUUUGUAGUUCGAUCCACCGCGAGUUUGGAGCGUGAGAAGAUAUUCAAGCACGAUCCGAGGACACGUGAAUCAAUCUAAACGAUCCGGGCUCAUCGCGUUCUAGCGCGAAUCGCUUCCGCAAAAAGGUACGAACGAAUACUUCCGCUGCGUUCUACACCAGCAAACGCCCGCUUCGCCUGUAG